CGGGGAGGAGGUCAGCCCUGCCCGAUGGCAAAGCACCUGCGGGGCUCACCCUGACCCAGUGCCUCCCACCUUGCCUCAACCCUCAUCACACUCUAGGAGGGGCGUGCAGACUGUGCCCAGCCCACAGAUAAACUGAGGCUCGGGGAGAUGGCGCAUGAGCUGGGGCUCAGGUUUGGGCCUGCUCUGGGAGUCACUCACCCAGCUUCCCGAAGAGCUCUACCCCAAGGGCAGCAUAGAUGAAGAAGAGCAGCAUGAAGAGGAGGCCCAGGUUGCCCACCUGCGGGAAGACAGGACCUGGAGGGCAGGCUGGUUCCAGCACAGGACUCAGAAUAACAAGAAAACACUUGUGCCGCCUUUACCACAAGCCGCCCCGUUUCCAGCACUUGAGGUUAAUGAGCUCACUUCCUCCUCACAAUAAUCCAUGAACUAUCUUUUAUCCCCAUUCUUCAGAUGAAGAAGGAGACAGACUGAGAGGCGACAUCACUUGUCCAGAAGCACACAGCUAGUAACUGGUAGGACAGGGGUCCAGACCCAGCAGGCUGGCCCCAGGAUCUGUGCAGACAACCUGUGCUACACACCUUGUGUGGCUACCAAGGUUGAAUGGAUGGAUGAAUGAAGGGAAGGGAGAGGGCAGGAAGUCUCAACACUAACAUUAGCUCCUCUACGAAACCACCGAAACGCACUUGUCCCUGUCACUAUCAUCUGCUGGUCUGGGAAAUCUUCAAGAACAGGAACACUGCUGCAUGAGGUCAGAUUUGCCUCCUCGGGCCAGCACGAGGCCUGGCCAUAGAGAGGAGGGAAGGCAGGAAUCACGCAGGCCCGUGGACCCCAGAAGGCUCUGCAAACCCAGCCACCCCCGUCCCACAGCUCCUGUGGGAGAAAGCGUCCCAGAUUCCAGACCUAGGUCAAAUCUAUCCAUGCACUGGAGACCACCUUUAACUCCUGCUAUGGAUAAGAUAAGGUUCAACCACAUUCUUGCCCUAGAAAUGAAAUCUCUCUUAGAACCCUCAGAAGGCCUGCGUGAAGAGAAUCAGAAGACGUUCACAUUAACUGCUGAAAAGUAAACCCCGUUAAUCACCACUCCUCAAGUUUCUCCUCUCCACUCCAAAGAAGGGUUUCCUGGCCAGCCGUUCUGCACUGCUAGUGGCUAAUUAAAUGAUGUUCCCUUCAUUAAUAAAACAAGCACUUACUGAGCGCCUGUGAGGCAAACUGUAAAGCCCUAACCGCUGAGAAGGAUCUGGCGUGGUCGAGGCCCUAGGAAAUCAGCUUUGUGCUCUGCGCAGGCCGGGGCUGGCAGCGUCUCUUAACCAGGAUUGCCUUCAGCUUUUCUCUGUCCCCUCCCCACUGUCAGCAUCUCAGAGCCGGUAGGAUUGCGGCAGCCUCCUCACCAGCUUCCCUGCCUCCAGCGUCUUCCUCCAAUCCACUCUCCUCCCAGCCGCCAGAGCCACCUUCUCAAAAGCAGCUCUGGCUGCAACCUCCCUUGUCUAGAACCCUCCUGUGGCACCCACUGCCUGCAAGAUAAAGCCCGAUUUUGCUUCCCUGGCAUUGAAGGUGUGUUGUGACCUGGCCCCCAGGGACCCCCUCCCAGCCUGAUCUUCCAACCCCACACACUCCAGCCACACAGAAAACAGCCCCACAGUGCCCUGGCAUAUUAUUUUCCCUCUGCAGGGAGGACCCUCUGUCUUUGCUUGGAAAAUGCCUCCUCCCCACCCCUCAAAGCCCAGUCCAUGGGUUACCUCCCCUGAGAAGCCUCCUCUGAUGCCUCCUCCCUCUUCUUGGGGCAGAGCCUGGUGGGGAGAGGCUGAAGUUUCAUUUUCCGAGCACUUUACACAGAAUCGAGGAAAUGGACAAUGUCCAUGCAACAGCAUGAGCAACAGCAAAUGGAUUUUGAGGGGUCAGCACCAUUUCAUGGCCAGCAGCACUCGGCACAUGCUGCUUCUAAAGUGCUGAUGCACUUGUAAUGACUACCAUGGGUCUCCUGCUGGAGGCUGGGAGGUCCUGAACAUCUCCAUGUGCCGAGCCCCAUGCCAGCUCCGCACUGGAUUUGGGAGUCAUGAUAGGACUGCCCAGGGCUCAGAGCAUGGGGAAGGGGAGUGGGAGCAAGGAGGCCAGGGAGGCCAAGCCACACACCUGCCAUCCCCAUCCCUAGCAGCCUCUUACAAGGCACUUCCCAUGAACCAGGCUUCUGAAGUGCUUCAUAAGCUUUAACCACCUGAAACUUCACCGCUGCCCUUUGAAAUAAGCACUUGAGGGAGCGAUGCUUCACCACCAUCCUCAUUUCACAGGCAAAGAAACUGAGGCACGAAAAGCUAAGUUGCAUGCCCAGGGCCCAGACUUUGCUCUCAGGCAUUAUGGCCCAAGUCGGGGUUCCAAUCUACUUCUUGUCUGCACAGCCUGCAGCCCAGCAUCACUCCCAUCUCCUAUGGGACAAAGUCCCCUGAAGGAAUUUAGUGUUAGGAAAAACCACGUCUCUGAAUGAAUGCCCUUGCUUUCCAUCCAGACCAUGCCACUUUCCCUUUAUACCGAGGCUGCUGGGAAGCUCACACCAAACUCAGGAACAGAACUCACCCAUGUCCUUAGCCCCACUCCCCGAAAGAAUUAGCUCUGCUUCCACCUUCCCUGGGCUGUUAAUCUUGUAUCCUCAUUCUUACUGUGCAGUAUCUGUGCCUUGUAUUUUAAGGUGUCUAAAGUUCCUGAUGACUCGAUGAAUCAUAAUGAAUAAAUAAAUGUGCCUGAGGGUCAUCACAGCAGAGGCCACCCUUAGGGGAGGGGGAAGAAGAGCCUCAAGCAGUCCAGACAGCAAGGGAGGGAAGGACUGGGAUUGCAGAAUUCCCAGGAGGAUGAAAAAGAUGCCCUCUGUGGCCCUGAUCACAUCUCCCUUUUCACUAACCACGGGGUGGGGGUAAAGUAACUUCCCUAACUUCUGAGAUCCCCACCUGGGUCAGUGUCUCAUGCUGCCCCUCCUGGAAUGCCAUCUCGGAACUUCCCCAUCCACACUGCCACCUUCUUCUGCCAAGCCACCCUUGGAAGUCAAGCUCAAAGGUCCCCUUUUCUAGGCUGCCUUCCCUGAUCUCCCCAGGGAGUGUCUGGCAGUCUUCUCUCCCUGGAGCAUGCUGGAGGUCCCUCCCCACAUCUCCCUGAAGUAUCCAUCUCCCUCCACCAGCCUGGGGCAAUCAAGGGCACGAUGUGGACCCUGAGUGCAUGCACAGGGCUGGACACAGAGUGUCGCUGGCAACCACAUGGUGAAGCCGGAAAAAACAGGCAGAAAGGGACCCUUUCUGCCUGUCAGCCCUCGGCUCAAAAUGCAUCCCCACAGACAGCAUCUGCCCUGGCUCUGGCAGAUGUGAGAAGGAAUAUCAGGGCCUUCAUGCCCCAGGGCCCAGCCUGACACCAAUGACCCCUAGUAGGGCUGCCAGAAAG
Molecule: long non-coding RNA, 3420 nt
Organism: Cercocebus atys (sooty mangabey)
Lineage: Eukaryota; Metazoa; Chordata; Mammalia; Primates; Cercopithecidae
Exons: 3
Source: RefSeq, a predicted model, not a curated record